AACGUAGGGGGCAAGCGUUGUCCGGAAUCAUUGGGCGUAAAGAGCGUGUAGGCGGCCCGGUAAGUCCGCUGUGAAAGCCCGGGGCUCAACCCCGGGAGGCGGGUGGAUACUGCUGAGCUCGAGUCCGGAAGAGGAGUGUGGAAUUCCUGGUGUAGCGGUGAAAUGCGCAGAUAUCAGGAGGAACACCAAUGGCGAAGGCAGCACUCUGGGACGUGACUGACGCUGAGACGCGAAAGCGUGGGGAGCGAACAGG
This 253-nucleotide ribosomal RNA is filed under the name uncultured bacterium. Its description in RNAcentral is "partial 16S ribosomal RNA". It matches the Rfam family "Bacterial small subunit ribosomal RNA", at positions 524 to 776 of the family's 1533-position model. The record is from RNAcentral.